GGGUUGUGAGGUUAAGCGACUAAGCGUACACGGUGGAUGCCCUGGCAGUCAGAGGCGAUGAAGGACGUGCUAAUCUGCGAUAAGCGCCGGUAAGGUGAUAUGAACCGUUAUAACCGGCGAUUUCCGAAUGGGGAAACCCAGUGUGACUCGUCACACUAUCAUUAACUGAAUCCAUAGGUUAAUGAGGCGAACCGGGGGAACUGAAACAUCUAAGUACCCCGAGGAAAAGAAAUCAACCGAGAUUCCCCCAGUAGCGGCGAGCGAACGGGGAGGAGCCCAGAGCCUGAAUCAGCAUGUGUGUUAGUGGAAGCGUCUGGAAAGGCGCGCGAUACAGGGUGACAGCCCCGUACACAAAAGCGCAUGUGCUGUGAGCUCGAUGAGUAGGGCGGGACACGUGGUAUCCUGUCUGAAUAUGGGGGGACCAUCCUCCAAGGCUAAAUACUCCUGACUGACCGAUAGUGAACCAGUACCGUGAGGGAAAGGCGAAAAGAACCCCGGCGAGGGGAGUGAAAAAGAACCUGAAACCGUGUACGUACAAGCAGUGGGAGCCCCACCACCAAAGCAUUCUCUGGUGUUGAAGGCCCUGCAAAGCAGCAUCGCGGUGGCGGAGCGUCGUUUGCGACGCCCAACACACAAAACAAGCGGUGAGUGCUUUGGGGUGGGGUGACUGCGUACCUUUUGUAUAAUGGGUCAGCGACUUAUAUUCUGUAGCAAGGUUAACCGAAUAGGGGAGCCGGAGGGAAACCGAGUCUUAAUUGGGCGUUAAGUUGCAGGGUAUAGACCCGAAACCCGGUGAUCUAGCCAUGGGCAGGUUGAAGGUUGGGUAACACUAACUGGAGGACCGAACCGACUAAUGUUGAAAAAUUAGCGGAUGACCUGUGGCUGGGGGUGAAAGGCCAAUCAAACCGGGAGAUAGCUGGUUCUCCCCGAAAGCUAUUUAGGUAGCGCCUCGUGAAUUCAUCUCCGGGGGUAGAGCACUGUUUCGGCUAGGGGGCCAUCCCGGCUUACCAACCCGAUGCAAACUGCGAAUACCGGAGAAUGUUAUCACGGGAGACACACGGCGGGUGCUAACGUCCGUCGUGAAGAGGGAAACAACCCAGACCGCCAGCUAAGGUCC
Molecule: ribosomal RNA, 1117 nt
Filed under: Salmonella enterica subsp. enterica serovar Kentucky
Lineage: Bacteria; Pseudomonadati; Pseudomonadota; Gammaproteobacteria; Enterobacterales; Enterobacteriaceae
Description: partial 23S ribosomal RNA
Rfam family: Bacterial large subunit ribosomal RNA
Source: RNAcentral